GACGAGACGGGAAGCCGCCGUGUCGACCU
This 29-nucleotide small RNA is filed under the name Bombyx mori (domestic silkworm). RNAcentral describes it as "ovarian small RNA-5085". Lineage: Eukaryota; Metazoa; Arthropoda; Insecta; Lepidoptera; Bombycidae. The record is from RNAcentral.